Molecule: ribosomal RNA, 253 nt
Filed under: uncultured bacterium
Lineage: Bacteria
Description: partial 16S ribosomal RNA
Rfam family: Bacterial small subunit ribosomal RNA
Source: RNAcentral
UACGUAGGGGGCAAGCGUUAAUCGGAAUUACUGGGCGUAAAGCGUGCGCAAGCGGUCCGUUAAGACAGAUGUGAAAUCCCCGGGCUUAACCUGGGAACUGCAUUUGUGACUGGAGGACUCGAGUAUGGCAGAGGGGUGUAGAAUUCCACGUGUAGCAGUGAAAUGCGUAGAGAUGUGGAGGAAUACCGAUGGCGAAGGCAGCCCCCUGGGCCAAUACUGACGCUCAUGCACGAAAGCGUGGGGAGCAAACAGG